Molecule: long non-coding RNA, 261 nt
Filed under: Rattus norvegicus (Norway rat)
Lineage: Eukaryota; Metazoa; Chordata; Mammalia; Rodentia; Muridae
Description: long non-coding RNA NONRATT003647
Source: RNAcentral
CGCUUUCUUUUCUUGUCCCUGAAGAGUGAGGACUUGCCUUCACUCAUUAACCCACUCCAUACGGUUUAGUAUUGCACUGGGCGUUUGAUAGAAGUCCGGUCAAUGCCUUUAUAUACCUUAGUUAUGAACGCGAUCACCUCAAGAGACCUCAGCUUCCCAGUGGCAGGAAACCAUAGCAUCUAUGUGUUUGUGAAUAGAAAGGCACUCUGCUGACAUUGAUGAAAUGAACCUCAUGUUCAGGUCCUCUCCCACCCCAGUUCU